RNAcentral lists this Y RNA (102 nucleotides) under Microcebus murinus (gray mouse lemur). Its description in RNAcentral is "Y RNA (ENSMICG00000047390.1)". It matches the Rfam family "Y RNA". From Rfam's summary of the family: Y RNAs are components of the Ro ribonucleoprotein particle (Ro RNP), in association with Ro60 and La proteins. Lineage: Eukaryota; Metazoa; Chordata; Mammalia; Primates; Cheirogaleidae. The record is from RNAcentral.
AGUUGUUCCGAGUGCAGUGGUAUUUACAACAAAUUGAUCGCAACCAGUUAUAGAUUCCUUUGUUCCUUCUCCACUCCCACUGCUUCACUUGACCAGGAAAAA